AUUGAACGCUGGCGGCAUGGCUAAAGCAUGCAAGUCGAACGGACCCGCAAGGGUCAGUGGCGAAAGGGUCAGUAAUACGAUCGAACGUACCCUGAGGUGUGGGAUAGCCGCGGGAAACUGCGGGUAAUACCACAUGUGCUCUACGGAGGAAGGCCGCAAGGCGCCUCGGGAGCGGCGAUCGUCCUAUCAGGUAGUUGGCGGGGUAACGG
RNAcentral lists this ribosomal RNA (209 nucleotides) under uncultured bacterium. RNAcentral describes it as "partial 16S ribosomal RNA". It matches the Rfam family "Bacterial small subunit ribosomal RNA", at positions 30 to 263 of the family's 1533-position model. The record is from RNAcentral.